GGGUCAGUAGGUUGGUCGUGCCACCGGUACGUACUGGUCUCACUGAUUCCUCCUUCCUGAAGAACCGUAAUGCCAUUAAUCUGGUGUUGCGGGGAAACAGGACUUUUACUUUGAAAAAAUUAGAGUGUUUAAAGCAAGCUAACGCUUGAAUACAUUAGCAUGGAAUAAUGAAAUAGGACGAUCGAUCCUAUUUUGUUGGUUUCUAGGAUUGACGUA
This 216-nucleotide ribosomal RNA is filed under the name Glomeromycotina sp. RNAcentral's name for it is "partial small subunit ribosomal RNA". The stretch from base 40 to 216 matches the Rfam family "Eukaryotic small subunit ribosomal RNA", at positions 686 to 864 of the family's 1831-position model. Lineage: Eukaryota; Fungi; Glomeromycota. The record is from RNAcentral.